Molecule: long non-coding RNA, 381 nt
Filed under: Ananas comosus (pineapple)
Lineage: Eukaryota; Viridiplantae; Streptophyta; Magnoliopsida; Poales; Bromeliaceae
Description: long non-coding RNA (ACOM_LNC028006)
Source: RNAcentral
ACCGACCAUCCCUAGAAUAAGUGGCAAAGGAUUUGAUGGUUGGUAUUGAGGUCCCAAGUUCGAAUCCUAGUUGAUUCACAUUUCUAGCUAAGUUUAUUUCUAAAUGAAAAUAAACGAAGCGGGUAGCGUGCUACUUAUCUCUAAAAAAAAAAAGACAUUGAACACCUAAUUAAUAUGCUCUAUAUAAGAAAAUCUUAUUAUUGCAUCUGCUAUAAUACAUAUAAUAAUAUACAAAUAUGCCGAAUAAACUAGCGGUUUCGUUUAUUUCAUUUAGAAUUUAAUUAGAAAUAAAAAUGUGAAUCAGCUAGGAUUCGAACUUGCGACCUCGGGUACCAACCACCAAACUCUUUCCCACUUACUCUAGGGACGGUCGGUUAUAUU